This 503-nucleotide ribosomal RNA is filed under the name uncultured bacterium. Its description in RNAcentral is "partial 16S ribosomal RNA". It matches the Rfam family "Bacterial small subunit ribosomal RNA", at positions 28 to 507 of the family's 1533-position model. The record is from RNAcentral.
GACGAACGCUGGCGGCGUGCUUAACACAUGCGAGUCGAACGGUGAAGCGCUUUCCUUUUUGGUUGGUGUGGAUGAGUGGCGAACGGGUGAGUAACACGUGAGUAACCUGCCCCCUUCUUCUGGAUAACCGCAUGAAAGUGUGGCUAAUACGGGAUAUUCUGCGCCUGCUGCAUGGUGGGUGUGGGAAAGAUUGUGCCUUUGGGUGUUUUCGGUGGGGGAUGGGCUCGCGGCCUAUCAGCUUGUUGGUGGGGUGAUGGCCUACCAAGGCGGUGACGGGUAGCCGGCCUGAGAGGGUGGACGGUCACACUGGGACUGAGACACGGCCCAGACUCCUACGGGAGGCAGCAGUGGGGAAUAUUGCACAAUGGGCGCAAGCCUGAUGCAGCGACGCCGCGUGAGGGAUGGAGGCCUUCGGGUUGUGAACCUCUUUCGCCAGUGAAGCAGGCCUGCUCCUUGUGGGUGGGUUGACGGUAGCUGGAUAAGAAGCGCCGGCUAACUACGUG